This 751-nucleotide long non-coding RNA is filed under the name Mytilus galloprovincialis (Mediterranean mussel). Lineage: Eukaryota; Metazoa; Mollusca; Bivalvia; Mytilida; Mytilidae. The record is from RNAcentral.
GUGUUUUAUACUGGUGGUGUACAAUCUGUUAUGUUCUGAAGUAACUGGCAGAUGUGUGUUUUAUACUGCUGGUGUACAAUCUGUUAUGUUCUGAAGUAACUUAUAGUUGUGUGUUUUAUACUGCUGAUGUACAAUCUGUUAUGUUCUGAAGUAACUUGCAGUUGUGUGUUUUAUACUGCUGGUGUAAAUAUGUUAUGUUCUGAAGUAACCUGUAGUUUUGUACUGCUUAUGUACAUUCUUAAGUAACUUGCAGUUGUGUGUUUUAUACUGCUGGUGUACAAUCUGUUCUGUUCUGAAGCAAUUUGUAGUUGUGUGUUUUAUCCUGCUGUUGUACAAUCUGUUAUGUUCUGAAGUAAUUUGUAGUUGUGUGUUCUAUACUGCUAGUGUACAAUCUGUUAUAUCCUGAAGUAAUUUGUAGUUGUGUGUUUUAUCCUGCUGGUGUACAAUCUGUUAUGUACUGAAGUAACUUGUUAAUGUGUAUUCUAUACUGCUGGUGUACAAUCUGUUAUGUUCUGAAGUAAUUUGUAGUUGUGUGUUCUAUACUGCUAGUGUACAAUCUGUUAUAUUCUGAAGUAAUUUGUAGUUGUGUGUUUUAUCCUGCUGUUGUACAAUCUGUUAUGUUCUGAAGUAAUUUGUAGUUGUGUGUUCUAUACUGGUGGUGUACAAUCUGUUAUGUUCUAAAGUAACUUGUUGUCGUGUGUUUAUGUACAAUAUUCAAUAUUUUGAAGUACUUUGUAGUUUUAUACUGUUU